UACGUAGGGUGCAAGCGUUGUCCGGAUUUAUUGGGUUUAAAGGGUGCGUAGGCGGCCCUGUAAGUCAGUGGUGAAAUACUCCAGCUUAACUGGAGGGGUGCCAUUGAUACUGCAGGGCUUGAGUUAAGUUGAAGUUGGCGGAAUUGACGAUGUAGCGGUGAAAUGCUUAGAUAUCGUCAAGAACACCGAUAGUGAAGACAGCUAACUAAACUUUUACUGACGCUGAGGCACGAAAGUGUGGGGAUCAAACAGG
Molecule: ribosomal RNA, 253 nt
Filed under: uncultured bacterium
Lineage: Bacteria
Description: partial 16S ribosomal RNA
Rfam family: Bacterial small subunit ribosomal RNA
Source: RNAcentral